RNAcentral lists this long non-coding RNA (287 nucleotides) under Lepisosteus oculatus (spotted gar). RNAcentral describes it as "lncRNA (ENSLOCG00000022174.1)". The record is from RNAcentral. Lineage: Eukaryota; Metazoa; Chordata; Actinopteri; Semionotiformes; Lepisosteidae.
CUUACUAGAGGGCAUUGUAUUUUUCAUCUCCCGGGUCAUGCUGGGACAUGUCCAGAGCCACUGUCUUCUCAGUUUUAGGUUAACCGCUAUUGGAAAGGUAGUGUAGAAACGACGUUGGCGUUCGCGUCGUAUUUAUUGUAUUUCUUUUUAUAUCCACGUUUUAUAACAUCGCAAAAGCUGCAAGAAAACUUCACGAAUUUAAGCGAUAAAGGGUUAAAGUACAAAGACGCAUGUAAGAUGACAGAGAUGGACAGGCAUCCUGCCCAUGGUGUACCCUGCCUUAUCCC